Lolium rigidum is the source of this 1239-nucleotide long non-coding RNA. RefSeq lists it as uncharacterized. The transcript has 3 exons. The record is from RefSeq and is a predicted model, not a curated record. NCBI's taxonomy places the organism in Eukaryota, Viridiplantae, Streptophyta, Magnoliopsida, Poales, Poaceae.
UCUAGACUACUACCAUUACAUGUAGAUAAGUACUUUCUUUUGUAUGAAACACAUGAGUGUGAUGAUUUAGCUAUUAUGAUCAUCUACUCAAAGUUUAUAAUUUCUUUUGUAUGAAAUACAUGAGUUUUUAUCCCCUUGAACAAAUCAAAAUAGUUGGAGUUUAUGGUCAUGUGUGAUUAUUCACUUUAUGAUCAUCUACUUUCACGAGAAGCAGCAAUGACCAAGAAAAGGCUGAAGGUUGAUGCUGAUGUAUCCUAUCGUGAGAGGACUGUGACGUGGGCUGAUGAUCGGAAGAAAUACAUGCUUGAUUGGUACAUGGACUACUUGAAAAAUGAACAUGUAGGAUUUAAGUUCAAGAAGCAACAUCAUUUGUCGUGUGCUGAUGCAUUAAAUAAGAAGUUCGCAAUGGGGGUGAACGUGGAUCAACUGGGCUGUCAGUACAUGCACUAUAAAGAAAAUUGGAAGAUCAUUGCAGCAGCACUGAGCAAAAGUGGAAAUUCAUUUGACCAAACCAGAUGCAUUGUGACUAUUUUAGAAUCUGAAAAGGCAACCCUGUGUGUAUGCUGUCUCAACCACAUUCAAGUUCUUAUGCGAGAAGGAAGGCUUAAAUCUGUGAACUCUACAAGUUGGUUGCAAGCUCAUUUUUUCUAUGUGUGUUACUCACAUAAUGACUAGAACAUGUUUAGUUACAAUACUACUUUUGUUGCUAAUCAAUGAUAGGUGAAUAGAGCUUGAUAAGCUGUUGUUCAUAAUCUGGUCCAACUUGGCUUUUGUCAUGAAUGUUAUGCACUACUUAACUGAGUGGUUGUUGAAUAUGUUUGACUCUUUAGGAAGAAAUUAAUUAUUAAGCGAUACUAUGGAUGGUUGAGCUAGAUCUAUUGUCUGAUACUUGUUUCCUGUUGUUCUGUAACCAGCUAGGCCUGAAGUUAGUGAAUCUAGAAGUGCUUUGACUCUGGAAGUGCUUUAGCGGUUCAUGCUCUCUCCGUGGUUAAACAUGUUCUACUAACAAAGAAAAAUUGAUGAUAAGCCAAAGGAAUCAUUCCCGGGGCAUGAUACUCAAAUGUGAAGCAUUAGAUGACACCUUUCUAAAGGUUAGAACCAUUUCAAUGCAAUGACUACGUAGUCAAGUGUGGUAUAAAUAUGAAUCAGUCCAUGCAAGAUCAAAUUGGCUAUUAGUUACAGGUAGAGAGAAGCAGAGCCCCUGCUGCCGACGUUGCCUCCUGCACAGCCUGAUCUUGG